UGUCUCCAAUAACUUUUGACUUAUACAAUGGAAUUCGAGUUUAUGUUUUAGAAAUAUGUUGCAAUUUUGUAUUUUCUUUUAAGAAUUUUGUUUAAUAAAAUAUAGGAGUGGAAGAAAUAGGGUAUAUUUCUUGCCGUACUCAACACUCAUGCUAUACUUAGU
Parasteatoda tepidariorum (common house spider) is the source of this 162-nucleotide non-coding RNA. The record is from RefSeq and is a predicted model, not a curated record. NCBI's taxonomy places the organism in Eukaryota, Metazoa, Arthropoda, Arachnida, Araneae, Theridiidae.